AUUGAACGCUGGCGGCAGGCCUAACACAUGAAAGUCGAACGCAGUGGGGACGGGUGAGUAACACGUGGGUAACCUCCCAUCAGAGGGGAUAACACUUGGAAACAGGUGCUAAACCGAUACUGCUGGAUGGACCCGCGGUGCAUUAGCGAGUUUGUGAGGUAACGGCUCACCAAGGCAACGAUGUAGAGCCGGCUUGAGAGGUGGAUCUGCAACACGGAGACUGUGACACGGCCCAGAAUCCGACGGGAGGCAGAAGUAGGGAAUCGUCGGCAAUGGACGAAAGUCUGACCGAGCCACGCCGCGUGAGUGAAGAAGGUUUUCGGAUCGUAAAACUCUGUUGUUAGAGAAGCGGUAUCUAACCAGAAAGCCACGGCUAACUACGUGCCAGCAGCCGCGGUAAUAC
RNAcentral lists this ribosomal RNA (403 nucleotides) under uncultured bacterium. RNAcentral describes it as "partial 16S ribosomal RNA". It matches the Rfam family "Bacterial small subunit ribosomal RNA", at positions 30 to 526 of the family's 1533-position model. The record is from RNAcentral.